Molecule: transfer RNA, 75 nt
Filed under: Candidatus Dormiibacterota bacterium
Lineage: Bacteria; Bacillati; Candidatus Dormiibacterota
Also listed under: 1 other name
Description: tRNA-Lys
Rfam family: tRNA
About the family: Transfer RNA (tRNA) molecules are approximately 80 nucleotides in length. Their secondary structure includes four short double-helical elements and three loops (D, anti-codon, and T loops).
Source: RNAcentral
GCCCGCAUAGCUCAGUGGUAGAGCAGUUGACUCUUAAUCAAUUGGUCGGGGGUUCGAAUCCCUCUGCGGGCACCA